CACCUUGGUUUCCAUAUCCUGGUCCACCACCACCAUAGCCCCCUCUACUACCAUAAAAUUGCCAGAUCCACCUCCACGACCUGUCCGUGAUCCAGCGGACUGCAUCUCUUGUUUAGAAAGGGCCUUUUUCACUUCACAAUUAUGCCCAUUAAUAGUGUGGUAUUUCUGAACAACAAUUUUAUCAACUGUAUCAUGAUCAUCAAAAGUUACAAAAGCAGAUCCUCUCUUUUUUCCACUCUGCCUCUCUUGCAUAACUUCUAUGGUUUCAAUCUUGCCAUACUUUUCAAAGUAGUCUCUCAAAUUAUAUUC
RNAcentral lists this long non-coding RNA (309 nucleotides) under Homo sapiens (human). Its description in RNAcentral is "HSALNT0189033". Lineage: Eukaryota; Metazoa; Chordata; Mammalia; Primates; Hominidae. The record is from RNAcentral.